This 460-nucleotide ribosomal RNA is filed under the name uncultured bacterium. RNAcentral's name for it is "partial 16S ribosomal RNA". It matches the Rfam family "Bacterial small subunit ribosomal RNA", at positions 338 to 795 of the family's 1533-position model. The record is from RNAcentral.
CCUACGGGAGGCAGCAGUGAGGAAUAUUGGUCAAUGGCCGUAAGGCUGAACCAGCCAAGUCGCGUGAAGGAAGAAGGAUCUAUGGUUUGUAAACUUCUUUUAUAGGGGAAUAAAGGUAUCCACGUGUGGAUAUUUGCAUGUACCCUAUGAAUAAGCAUCGGCUAACUCCGUGCCAGCAGCCGCGGUAAUACGGAGGAUGCGAGUGUUAUCCGGAUUUAUUGGGUUUAAAGGGUGCGUAGGUCGUUUUUUAAGUCAGCGGUGAAAGUUUGUGGCUCAACCAUAAAAUUGCAGUUGAUACUGGAAGGCUUGAGUGUGUUAGAGGUAGGCGGAAUGCGAGGUGUAGCGGUGAAAUGCAUAGAGAUCACGAAGAACUCCGAUUGCGAAGGCAGCUUACUAAGCCAUAACUGACACUGAGGCACGAAAGCGUGGGGAUCAAACAGGAUUAGAUACCCCGGUAGUC